RNAcentral lists this small nuclear RNA (20 nucleotides) under Arabidopsis thaliana (thale cress). RNAcentral's name for it is "snRNA_09871". Lineage: Eukaryota; Viridiplantae; Streptophyta; Magnoliopsida; Brassicales; Brassicaceae. The record is from RNAcentral.
GGUCCAGCGGCUGGAAGAGC